Molecule: ribosomal RNA, 484 nt
Filed under: uncultured bacterium
Lineage: Bacteria
Description: partial 16S ribosomal RNA
Rfam family: Bacterial small subunit ribosomal RNA
Source: RNAcentral
AUUGAACGCUGGCGGCAGGCCUAACACAUGCAAGUCGAGCGGAUGAAGGGAGCUUGCUCCUGGAUUCAGCGGCGGACGGGUGAGUAAUGCCUAGGAAUCUGCCUGGUAGUGGGGGAUAACGUGCGGAAACGGGCGCUAAUACCGCAUACGUCCUGAGGGAGAAAGUGUGGGAUCUUCGGACCUCACGCUAUCACAUGAGCCUAGGUCGGAUUAGCUAGUUGGUGGGGUAAAGGCCUACCAAGGCGACGAUCCGUAACUGGUCUGAGAGGAUGAUCAGUCACACUGGAACUGAGACACGGUCCAGACUCCUACGGGAGGCAGCAGUGGGGAAUAUUGGACAAUGGGCGAAAGCCUGAUCCAGCCAUGCCGCGUGUGUGAAGAAGGUCUUCGGAUUGUAAAGCACUUUAAGUUGGGAGGAAGGGCAGUAAGUUAAUACCUUGCUGUUUUGACGUUACCAACAGAAUAAGCACCGGCUAACUUCGUG